GGCUUAAUUCGACGAUGAGUCACUUCGGUGGUGGAUUAGUGGCGAACGGGUGAGUAACACGUGGGCAAUCUGCCCUUCACUCUGGGACAAGCCCUGGAAACGGGGUCUAAUACCGGAUAACACUCUGUCCCGCAUGGGACGGGGUUGAAAGCUCCGGCGGUGAAGGAUGAGCCCGCGGCCUAUCAGCUUGUUGGUGGGGUAAUGGCCUACCAAGGCGACGACGGGUAGCCGGCCUGAGAGGGCGACCGGCCACACUGGGACUGAGACACGGCCCAGACUCCUACGGGAGGCAGCAGUGGGGAAUAUUGCACAAUGGGCGAAAGCCUGAUGCAGCGACGCCGCGUGAGGGAUGACGGCCUUCGGGUUGUAAACCUCUUUCAGCAGGGAAGAAGCGAAAGUGACGGUACCUGCAGAAGAAGCGCCGGCUAACUACGUGCCAGCAGCCGCGGUAAUACGUAGGGCGCAAGCGUUGUCCGGAAUUAUUGGGCGUAAAGAGCUCGUAGGCGGCUUGUCACGUCGGAUGUGAAAGCCCGGGGCUUAACCCCGGGUCUGCAUUCGAUACGGGCUAGCUAGAGUGUGGUAGGGGAGAUCGGAAUUCCUGGUGUAGCGGUGAAAUGCGCAGAUAUCAUGGGGGAACACCAAG
This 643-nucleotide ribosomal RNA is filed under the name Actinomycetales bacterium A318. RNAcentral's name for it is "bacterial SSU rRNA". It matches the Rfam family "Bacterial small subunit ribosomal RNA", at positions 60 to 713 of the family's 1533-position model. Lineage: Bacteria; Bacillati; Actinomycetota; Actinomycetes; Actinomycetales. The record is from RNAcentral.